AAGGCUUUAGCUUAAUUAAAGCAUCUGAGUUGCAUUCAGAAUAUGUGGGGUGAUCUCGCAGGUCUUA
RNAcentral lists this transfer RNA (67 nucleotides) under Eurycea tynerensis (Oklahoma salamander). Its description in RNAcentral is "tRNA-Ala". It matches the Rfam family "tRNA". Rfam says of the family: Transfer RNA (tRNA) molecules are approximately 80 nucleotides in length. Their secondary structure includes four short double-helical elements and three loops (D, anti-codon, and T loops). Further hydrogen bonds mediate the characteristic L-shaped molecular structure. tRNAs have two regions of fundamental functional importance: the anti-codon, which is responsible for specific mRNA codon recognition, and the 3' end, to which the tRNAs corresponding amino acid is attached (by aminoacyl-tRNA synthetases). tRNAs cope with the degeneracy of the genetic code in two manners: having more than one tRNA (with a specific anti-codon) for a particular amino acid; and 'wobble' base-pairing, i.e. permitting non-standard base-pairing at the 3rd anti-codon position. The record is from RNAcentral. Lineage: Eukaryota; Metazoa; Chordata; Amphibia; Caudata; Plethodontidae.